This 403-nucleotide ribosomal RNA is filed under the name uncultured eukaryote. RNAcentral's name for it is "SSU rRNA". It matches the Rfam family "Eukaryotic small subunit ribosomal RNA", at positions 587 to 972 of the family's 1831-position model. The record is from RNAcentral.
AGCUCUGCGAACGUGCACUAAUAUUGUUGCGGUUAAAAAGCUCAUAGUUGGAAUUGGUCGACGUGGAUACUGGGUGACUGGUAUUUGCGUUUUACUUGACGUGGUAUAUAACUUUAUUGAUAUAUAACUAUGUCAAGCGGCCAUUAAAAAAUGCUUCACUUUUAACGAAGAAAAGCGUUUUCUUUAUACUUUGAACAAAUCAGAGUGCUCAAUGCAGACUCGUGUCUGAAUGAUUUUGCAUGGAAUAUAUGAACAUGAGCCUAUCGCAAGCUAUUCCUGGCGGCGAUUAUGGCUAAUGAUUAAUGAAGUCUGACGGUGGCGUGCGUACUGCAGCGCGAGAGGUGAAAUUCUUGGACCGUUGCAUGACGAACAACUGCGAAAGCACUCGCCAAGAAUGACUUUG